RNAcentral lists this ribosomal RNA (433 nucleotides) under uncultured bacterium. Its description in RNAcentral is "partial 16S ribosomal RNA". It matches the Rfam family "Bacterial small subunit ribosomal RNA", at positions 29 to 507 of the family's 1533-position model. The record is from RNAcentral.
AACGAACGCUGGCGGCAUGCCUAACACAUGCAAGUCGAACGAGACCUUCGGGUCUAGUGGCGCACGGGUGCGUAGCGCGUGGGAACCUGCCCUUAGGUUCGGAAUAACUCCCCGAAAGGGGUGCUAAUACCGGAUAAUGUCUUCGGACCAAAGAUUUAUCGCCUUUGGAUGGGCCCGCGUUGGAUUAGCUAGUUGGUAGGGUAAAAGCCUACCAAGGCGACGAUCCAUAGCUGGUCUGAGAGGAUGAUCAGCCACACUGGGACUGAGACACGGCCCAGACUCCUACGGGAGGCAGCAGUGGGGAAUAUUGGACAAUGGGCGAAAGCCUGAUCCAGCAAUGCCGCGUGAGUGAUGAAGGCCUUAGGGUUGUAAAGCUCUUUUACCCGGGAUGAUAAUGACAGUACCGGGAGAAUAAGCGCCGGCUAACUCCGUG